CAGUCGCCACGGUAAUACGGAGGGUGCAAGCGUUAAUCGGAAUUACUGGGCGUAAAGCGCACGCAGGCGGUUUGUUAAGUCAGAUGUGAAAUCCCCGAGCUUAACUUGGGAACUGCAUUUGAAACUGGCAAGCUAGAGUCUUGUAGAGGGGGGUAGAAUUCCAGGUGUAGCGGUGAAAUGCGUAGAGAUCUGGAGGAAUACCGGUGGCGAAGGCGGCCCCCUGGACAAAGACUGACGCUCAGGUGCGAAAGCGUGGGGAGCAAACAGGAUUAGAUACCCCUGUAGUCCCUGUCUCUUAUAA
RNAcentral lists this ribosomal RNA (301 nucleotides) under uncultured bacterium. RNAcentral's name for it is "partial 16S ribosomal RNA". It matches the Rfam family "Bacterial small subunit ribosomal RNA", at positions 509 to 809 of the family's 1533-position model. The record is from RNAcentral.